RNAcentral lists this ribosomal RNA (465 nucleotides) under uncultured soil bacterium. RNAcentral's name for it is "bacterial SSU rRNA". It matches the Rfam family "Bacterial small subunit ribosomal RNA", at positions 26 to 518 of the family's 1533-position model. The record is from RNAcentral.
AGGAUAAACGCUGGCGGCGUGCCUAAAACAUGCAAGUCGGACGGGCCAUUGCUUUCGGGUGGUGGUCAGUGGCGGACGGCUGAGUAACACGUGGGUGACCUGCCCCCAUGCGGGGGACAACCGCCCGAAAGGGUGGCUAAUACCGCAGAGCUCGCAGCUUCGGUGGUGUGAGUGAACUUCUUCGGAGGGUAUGGGGAGGGCCCGCGGCCGAUUAGCUGGCUGGUGGGGUGACGGCCUACCAGGGCGACGAUCGGUAGCUGGUCUGAGAGGAUGAUCAGCCAGACUGGGACUGCGACACGGCCAGACUCCUACGGGAGGCAGCAGUUAGGAAUUUGGGCAAUGGGGCAACCUGACCCAGCAACGCGCGUGGGUGACGAAGGCCCUCGGUCGUAAAGCCCUUUUCCCCGGGACGAUGGUGACGGUACCGGGGAAUCGAGCCCCGGCUAACUACGUGCCAGCAGCCGC